This 253-nucleotide ribosomal RNA is filed under the name uncultured bacterium. RNAcentral describes it as "partial 16S ribosomal RNA". It matches the Rfam family "Bacterial small subunit ribosomal RNA", at positions 524 to 776 of the family's 1533-position model. The record is from RNAcentral.
UACGAAGGGGGCUAGCGUUGCUCGGAAUCACUGGGCGUAAAGGGUGCGUAGGCGGGUCUUUAAGUCAGAGGUGAAAUCCUGGAGCUCAACUCCAGAACUGCCUUUGAUACUGAAGAUCUUGAGUUCGGGAGAGGUGAGUGGAACUGCGAGUGUAGAGGUGAAAUUCGUAGAUAUUCGCAAGAACACCAGUGGCGAAGGCGGCUCACUGGCCCGAUACUGACGCUGAGGCACUAAAGCGUGGGGAGCAAACAGG